CUAUCGCUCGGGUGAAGCGAAAUCCUUUUGUGCCGGGGUUCGGCACAAAAGAUUAUAGCGAAAAGCGGGAAACCAU
RNAcentral lists this small RNA (76 nucleotides) under Flavobacterium succinicans. RNAcentral describes it as "Flavo-1 RNA". It matches the Rfam family "Flavo-1 RNA". The record is from Rfam by way of RNAcentral. Lineage: Bacteria; Pseudomonadati; Bacteroidota; Flavobacteriia; Flavobacteriales; Flavobacteriaceae.